AUACGUAGGGGGCAAGCGUUAUCCGGAAUUACUGGGUGUAAAGGGAGCGUAGGCGGUAUGGUAAGCCAGAUGUGAAAGCCCGAAGCUUAACUUCGAGGAUUGCAUUUGGAACUAUCAAACUAGAGUACAGGAGAGGUAAGUGGAAUUCCUAGUGUAGCGGUGAAAUGCGUAGAUAUUAGGAGAACACCAGUGGCGAAGGCGACUUACUGGACUGUAACUGACGUUGAGGCUCGAAAGCGUGGGGAGC
RNAcentral lists this ribosomal RNA (247 nucleotides) under uncultured bacterium. RNAcentral describes it as "partial 16S ribosomal RNA". It matches the Rfam family "Bacterial small subunit ribosomal RNA", at positions 523 to 769 of the family's 1533-position model. The record is from RNAcentral.